UAAAUUUGUUCUUGGUAUGAGCUUUCAUGUGCAUGCACAAGAAAGCUCAUACCAAGAACAAACUUA
Podarcis lilfordi (Lilford's wall lizard) is the source of this 66-nucleotide non-coding RNA. NCBI's taxonomy places the organism in Eukaryota, Metazoa, Chordata, Lepidosauria, Squamata, Lacertidae. The record is from the annotation of a GenBank genome assembly.